This 1752-nucleotide ribosomal RNA is filed under the name Listeria monocytogenes. Its description in RNAcentral is "partial 23S ribosomal RNA". It matches the Rfam family "Bacterial large subunit ribosomal RNA", at positions 1176 to 2925 of the family's 2925-position model. The record is from RNAcentral. Lineage: Bacteria; Bacillati; Bacillota; Bacilli; Caryophanales; Listeriaceae.
CGGGGCUAAACAUAUUACCGAAACUGUGGAUGAACCUCUUUAGAGGUUCGUGGUAGGAGAGCGUUCUAAGGGCGGUGAAGUCAGACCGGAAGGACUGGUGGAGCGCUUAGAAGUGAGAAUGCCGGUAUGAGUAGCGAAAGAAGGGUGAGAAUCCCUUCCACCGAAUAUCUAAGGUUUCCUGAGGAAGGCUCGUCCGCUCAGGGUUAGUCGGGACCUAAGCCGAGGCCGAUAGGCGUAGGCGAUGGACAACAGGUAGAGAUUCCUGUACCAGUGCUAAUUGUUUAACCGAUGGGGUGACACAGAAGGAUAGGGAAUCGCACGAAUGGAAAUGUGCGUCCAAGCAGUGAGUGUGAGAAGUAGGCAAAUCCGCUUCUCGCGAAGCAUGAGCUGUGAUGGGGAAGGAAAUUAAGUACGGAAGUUCCUGAUUUCACGCUGUCAAGAAAAGCCUCUAGGAAGAGUAGUACUGCCCGUACCGCAAACCGACACAGGUAGAUGAGGAGAGAAUCCUAAGGUGAGCGAGAGAACUCUCGUUAAGGAACUCGGCAAAAUGACCCCGUAACUUCGGGAGAAGGGGUGCUCUAUUAGGGUGCAAGCCCGAGAGAGCCGCAGUGAAUAGGCCCAGGCGACUGUUUAGCAAAAACACAGGUCUCUGCAAAACCGUAAGGUGACGUAUAGGGGCUGACGCCUGCCCGGUGCUGGAAGGUUAAGAGGAGUGCUUAGCUUCGGCGAAGGUACGAAUUGAAGCCCCAGUAAACGGCGGCCGUAACUAUAACGGUCCUAAGGUAGCGAAAUUCCUUGUCGGGUAAGUUCCGACCCGCACGAAAGGCGCAACGAUCUGGGCACUGUCUCAACGAGAGACUCGGUGAAAUUAUAGUACCUGUGAAGAUGCAGGUUACCCGCGACAGGACGGAAAGACCCCGUGGAGCUUUACUGCAACCUGAUAUGGAAUGUUUGUACCGCUUGUACAGGAUAGGUAGGAGCCGAAGAGACGUGUGCGCUAGCAUACGAGGAGGCAAUGGUGGGAUACUACCCUGGCUGUAUGACCAUUCUAACCCGCCACGCUUAGCGCGUGGGGAGACAGUGUCAGGUGGGCAGUUUGACUGGGGCGGUCGCCUCCUAAAGAGUAACGGAGGCGCCCAAAGGUUCCCUCAGAAUGGAUGGAAAUCAUUCGCAGAGUGUAAAGGCACAAGGGAGCUUGACUGCGAGACUGACAAGUCGAGCAGGGACGAAAGUCGGGCUUAGUGAUCCGGUGGUUCCGCAUGGAAGGGCCAUCGCUCAACGGAUAAAAGCUACCCCGGGGAUAACAGGCUUAUCUCCCCCAAGAGUCCACAUCGACGGGGAGGUUUGGCACCUCGAUGUCGGCUCGUCGCAUCCUGGGGCUGUAGUCGGUCCCAAGGGUUGGGCUGUUCGCCCAUUAAAGCGGCACGCGAGCUGGGUUCAGAACGUCGUGAGACAGUUCGGUCCCUAUCCGUCGCGGGCGCAGGAAAUUUGAGAGGAGCUGUCCUUAGUACGAGAGGACCGGGAUGGACACACCGCUGGUGUACCAGUUGUUCCGCCAGGAGCAUCGCUGGGUAGCUAUGUGUGGCAGGGAUAAACGCUGAAAGCAUCUAAGCGUGAAGCCCCCCUCAAGAUGAGAUUUCCCAUUUCUUCGGAAAGUAAGAUCCCUGAAAGAUGAUCAGGUAGAUAGGUUUGGAGUGGAAGUGUAGCGAUACAUGGAGCGGACAAAUACUAAUCGAUCGAGGACUUAACCAA